Populus euphratica (Euphrates poplar) is the source of this 642-nucleotide long non-coding RNA. RefSeq lists it as uncharacterized. The transcript has 2 exons. The record is from RefSeq and is a predicted model, not a curated record. NCBI's taxonomy places the organism in Eukaryota, Viridiplantae, Streptophyta, Magnoliopsida, Malpighiales, Salicaceae.
UCUGGCUAGAUUAUUUUUCACCCUAUUUAAUUUAAAACUCUACUCAGUGUAUUCAUCGUUCUUUCUAUUUUUAACCAAAGCAUUAAUUGUGCAUGUCAACAGGUUUUCGGGAUAGAUUCUUUUAAAGCAUUUCUCCAUUUGUCCAAGGCAAGGCCAGGCAGAGGACUGUAAACACAUGAUUUGGCUGGGAAUCUGGCUUCUUUCUAGUCAGGUAUGUUCUUGUUCACCUCUGGUAAGAGAUCAAACUCUAUUACUCCUUUCAUUUUUAUUCCUGAUUAUUAUUAGUCGAAUGUUCCUUCACUGUCACAAGAGAUGGAUAAGGCUUUGAAUGGUAUCAGACCGAGGCUAAGGUGCUCCUGGCUGCUACCCUACAAUUGAAAAAUGGAGUACGUGAUAAGAUCCCGAGAUUUGCUGCCGUAUAGCUUUUGAUCUAGUAAAAACAAAUGGAUAUUACACGCGAGUUAUGCUUAUCUUACCGAGUAUCUUUACUUAUUUCACUCAUUAUAUUGAUUGCUAGAUUUAUGAGAUUUAAUAAUAAAACACUAAUGAUUGUUAUUCUAUCUAUAAAUAUAAUUAUAUGUACUUCAAUGUUAAUUUGGGUUCAGAUGAAUAUGAAGCUCUACCUGUAGAGCUAAUUAGGUA